Molecule: ribosomal RNA, 235 nt
Filed under: uncultured bacterium
Lineage: Bacteria
Description: partial 16S ribosomal RNA
Rfam family: Bacterial small subunit ribosomal RNA
Source: RNAcentral
UGAGUAACCUGCCCUUAACUCUGGGAUAAGCCUGGGAAACCGGGUCUAAUACUGGAUACGACCUUCUGGCGCAUGCCAUGUUGGUGGAAAGCUUUUGCGGUUUUGGAUGGACUCGCGGCCUAUCAGCUUGUUGGUGAGGUAAUGGCUCACCAAGGCGACGACGGGUAGCUGGUCUGAGAGGAUGGCCAGCCACAGUUGGGACUGAGACACGGCCCAGACCUCCGUACGGGAGCAG